AACGAACGCUGGCGGCAUGCCUAACACAUGCAAGUCGAACGAGACCUUCGUGUCUAGUUGCUCACGGGUGCGUAACGCGUGGGAACCUUCCCUUAGGUUCGGAAUAACUCCCCUAAAGGGGUGCUAAUACCGGAUAAUGUCUUCUGACCAAAGAUUUAUCGCCUUUGGAUGGGCCCGCGUUGUAUUAGCUAUUUGGUAUGGUAAAAGCCUACCAAGGCUACGAUCCAUAGCUGGUCUGAGAGGAUGAUCAGCCACACUGGGACUGAGAAACGGCCCAGAAUACUACGGGAAGCAGGAGUGGGGAAUAUUGGAAAAUGGGCGAAAGCAUGAACCAGAAAUGCCGGGUGAGUGAUGAAGGUGGGAGGGUAGUAAAGCUCUUUUACACGGGAUGAUAAUGACAGUACCGGGAGAAUAAGCUCCGGCUAACUCCGUG
RNAcentral lists this ribosomal RNA (433 nucleotides) under uncultured bacterium. RNAcentral describes it as "partial 16S ribosomal RNA". It matches the Rfam family "Bacterial small subunit ribosomal RNA", at positions 29 to 507 of the family's 1533-position model. The record is from RNAcentral.